UACGAAGGGGGCUAGCGUUGCUCGGAAUUACUGGGCGUAAAGGGCGCGUAGGCGGAUAGUUUAGUUGGGGGUGAAAGCCCCGGGGCUCAACCUCGGAACUGCCUUCAAUACUGGCUAUCUUGAGUACGGGAGAGGUGUGGUGGAACUCCGAGUGUAGAGGUGAAAUUCGUAGAUAUUCGGAAGAACACCAGUGGCGAAGGCGACACACUGGCCCGUUACUGACGCUGAGGCGCGAAAGCGUGGGGAGCAAACAGG
RNAcentral lists this ribosomal RNA (255 nucleotides) under uncultured bacterium. RNAcentral describes it as "partial 16S ribosomal RNA". It matches the Rfam family "Bacterial small subunit ribosomal RNA", at positions 524 to 776 of the family's 1533-position model. The record is from RNAcentral.